AAGUCGUAACAAGGUUUCCGUAGGUGAACCUGCGGAAGGAUCAUUAUUGAUUGCGAAUCGUUGUCUUCAGUGCUGGCCAGCUCUGGCAAGUGCACGUUGGCGGCUUUUCAUCCAAUACCCCUGUGAACCUUUGGCCUCUUGCUAGCUUUGGCUGGCAGAGGAUUUUUACACCCACUCGAAUGUAAUGAAAUUAUUGUUGUGCGCAAGCACUACUGUACAACUUUCAACAACGGAUCUCUUGGCUCUCGCAUCGAUGAAGAACGCAGCGAAAUGCGAUAAGUAAUGUGAAUUGCAGAAUUCAGUGAAUCAUCGAAUCUUUGAACGCACCUUGCACCCUUUGGCAUUCCGAAGGGUAUGCUCGUUUGAGUGUCAUUGUACUCUCACACUUCUGAUCCUUUUGGAUUGGGAGCGGUGGACUUGGGUGUUUGCUGCUUUACUGCGGCUCACCUCAAAUGCAUUAGUGCAACUCUUGGUUGGACAUAGUACGGCGUGAUAAGUAUCUUCGCCGGCACCUCGCAAGAGGGUGGCUGAUCAGGAGCUCUGUGCUCUCCAACUGUCUUCAGACAACAACUGACAACUUGACCUCAAAUCGAGUAGGACCACCCGCUGAACUUAA
RNAcentral lists this ribosomal RNA (616 nucleotides) under uncultured Sebacina. RNAcentral's name for it is "eukaryotic LSU rRNA". The stretch from base 219 to 372 matches the Rfam family "5.8S ribosomal RNA". The record is from RNAcentral. Lineage: Eukaryota; Fungi; Basidiomycota; Agaricomycetes; Sebacinales; Sebacinaceae.